This 1061-nucleotide unclassified non-coding RNA is filed under the name Hevea brasiliensis (rubber tree). Lineage: Eukaryota; Viridiplantae; Streptophyta; Magnoliopsida; Malpighiales; Euphorbiaceae. The record is from RNAcentral.
GUAAAGUUAAAAGCUGAUAAAAUAAAAUGUUCCUUCACAGAAACAAGUUGCAAAUUUCCACCCUCUAUACCACUUUAUUAAAUAUUCACUUUUCAGUUUAUAAAGCUGUCAGAAAACUAAGAUCAAAUUUUGCCUUGGUUUAAAAUUUAGCUGUUGAAAAUUUAUUAGAAGACAGCAAAACAUUUGCAUUAGUCAUCUAACACUUCAGUGUUCUGUAUGGUUUUAGAAGGGAGGACUAUUGAAAAUGUGGAUUCUUUGGCUUUUGUUUCCAGUUAUAUUGUUGUUUAAGAUUUUAGUUCAGUUAAAUUUAUUCCAUCCUUGGGGUUUAACUAUAUAAUCAUUGCUCGGUCAAACAUAUGUAAGUUGACUGAAUAAACUUAUGAGAAUGUUACUAUUUGUUUUGGAGUUGCCCAAAACCUGGUGGAACGUUUAAGAAAAAUGGGUUGCACUGUUUGUUAUUUGACUAAAGGUAAUGACAACUAAAUCUCCUAAAGUCCAGUGCCAAGUUAAGGUGUAAAUUGAGGAGUGUGCAAAUUAAUUGUGCUGGUGUUGCAUAUGUGUUGUGUUCUUUUUGUUUUUCAUUUAUAGGGUGCAUUCCAUUUUGUAACCUAAUGACUGAGCAAAAUUAUAUUGGAAAAGGAAAUAUUCCACAACUAGCUAUCAUUUUAGAUUAUUUAUAAGCUACUAUCUCUGUAUUAUGUCAACCCUAAGCCUAGGGUGGCUUGACCAAUUAUUUUUUUAAAUUCAUACACUUAUAAAUUUUGUUUGUAUCAUAAUGAGACGCUCAUUAGUCAUGAGGUCUUAGAGCUGCAUAUCUAUCUUGUUGCAUCUCUAGAAUGAGAUAUAUGUUUUACCUUUUCUUUUGAUUUGGAAAUGUGAACCUUUAGAUCAUUUUGAGGUGAUUGGCGGUAAUCAUUUUUAUGAUUGACUUCCAAAUUUCUUCCUCUUUUACACAUUUUUAUGCUAUAGCUAACUACUAGGCAUUUCUGCGAAACAAAGAUCACCUUUGGCUAAUUGGUCUUUGAGGUUGGAACUAAGAGCACGAUUUGAAGGAAAAAAAA